AAUCUUCCGCAAUGGACGAAAGUCUGACGGAGCAACGCCGCGUGAGUGAAGAAGGUUUUCGGAUCGUAAAACUCUGUUGUUGGAGAAGAACAAGUAAGAGAGUAACUGCUCUUACCUUGACGGUACCCAACCAGAAAGCCACGGCUAACUAUGUGCCAGCAGCCGCGGUAAUACGUAGGUGGCAAGCGUUGUCCGGAUUUAUUGGGCGUAAAGCGAGCGCAGGCGGUUCCUUAAGUCUGAUGUGAAAGCCCACGGCUCAACCGUGGAAGGUCAUUGGAAACUGGGGAGCUUGAAUGCAGAAGAGGAGAGUGGAAUUCCAUGUGUAGCGGUGAAAUGCGUAGAUAUAUGGAGGAACACCAGUGGCGAAGGCGACUCUCUGGUCUGUAAUUGACGCUGAGGCUCGAAAGCGUGGGGAGCAAACAG
RNAcentral lists this ribosomal RNA (423 nucleotides) under uncultured bacterium. RNAcentral's name for it is "partial 16S ribosomal RNA". It matches the Rfam family "Bacterial small subunit ribosomal RNA", at positions 360 to 775 of the family's 1533-position model. The record is from RNAcentral.